CCAGGUAGUUUAUAUCCAGGUAGUUUAUCUUUAUAUCUAUGCAGUUUAUAUCUAGGUAGUUUAUCUUAAUAUCUAGGUAGUUUAUCUUUAUAUAUAGGUAGUUUAUAUGAUGUAGUUUAUCUUUAUAUCUAGGUAGUUUAUAUCUAUAUAGUUUAUCUUUAUAUCUAGGUAGUUUAUAUCUAGGUAGUUUAUAUCUAGGUAGUUUUUCUUUAAAUCCAGGUAGUUUAUCUUUAUAUCUAGGUAGUUUAUCUUUAUAUCUAGGUAGUUUAUCUUUAUAUCUAGGUUGUUUAUCUUUAUAUCUAGGUAGUUUAUCUUUAUAUUGUUUAUCUUUAUAUCUAGGUAGUUUAUAUCUAGGUACUUUAUAUUUCUAUCUAGGUAGUUUAUAUCCAGGUAGUUUAUCUCUAUAUCUAGGUAGUUUAUAUCCAGGUAGUUUAUCUUUAUAUCUAGGUAGUUUAUAUCCAGGUUGUUUAUCUUUAUAUCUCAGUAGUUUAUAUCUAUAAAGUUUAUCUUUAUAUCAG
This is a long non-coding RNA of Oncorhynchus tshawytscha (Chinook salmon), 518 nucleotides long. The record is from Ensembl. Lineage: Eukaryota; Metazoa; Chordata; Actinopteri; Salmoniformes; Salmonidae.